RNAcentral lists this unclassified non-coding RNA (241 nucleotides) under Rhizophagus sp. (in: glomeromycetes). RNAcentral describes it as "partial contains 5.8S ribosomal RNA and internal transcribed spacer 2". The stretch from base 1 to 65 matches the Rfam family "5.8S ribosomal RNA", at positions 84 to 154 of the family's 154-position model. Lineage: Eukaryota; Fungi; Glomeromycota; Glomeromycetes; Glomerales; Glomeraceae. The record is from RNAcentral.
GUGAAUCAUCAAAUUUUUGAACGCAAAUUGCACUCUCUUCGGAGAGUAUGCCUGUUUGAGGUUCAGUAUUAAUAAAAAUCGGUGUGUUGCUUCUUUGUGACGCUCCGGAGUUUGGGUCAUCUUAUAUCCUUUAGGUUUUAAGAGGCUUAAAAUUGACUUUUUUUUCUGAUUUUUGAUGUACAUAAAUUUUUUUUUUUUUUUGUUUGUCUUAAUUCUCCAAAUCCUAUUAGAUUCGACCAAU